GGGCCCGCACAAGCGGUGGAGCAUGUGGUUUAAUUCGAUGAUACGCGAGGAACCUUACCAGGGCUUAAAUGGGAGAUGACAGGGGCAGAGACGCCCUUUUCUUCGGACAUCUUUCAAGGUGCUGCAUGGUUGUCGUCAGCUCGUGCCGUGAGGUGUCAGGUUAAGUCCUAUAACGAGCGCAACCCCUACCGUUAGUUGCCAGCGAUUCAAGUCGGGGACUCUAACGGGACUGCCGGUGCAAACCGUGAGGAAGGUGGGGACGACGUCAAAUCAUCACGGCCCUUACGUCCUGGGCUACACACGUGCUACAAUGGUCGGUACAGAGGGAAGCUACCCCGUAAGGGGAUGCGGAUCUAUAAACCGAUCUCAGUUCGGAUCGCAGUCUGCAACUCGACUGCGUGAAGCUGGAAUCGCUAGUAAUCG
This 423-nucleotide ribosomal RNA is filed under the name uncultured bacterium. RNAcentral describes it as "bacterial SSU rRNA". It matches the Rfam family "Bacterial small subunit ribosomal RNA", at positions 917 to 1344 of the family's 1533-position model. The record is from RNAcentral.